GCCAGACUCCUACGGGAGGCAGCAGUGGGGAAUAUUGGGCAAUGGGCGCAAGCCUGACCCAGCAACGCCGCGUGAAGGAAGAAGGCUUUCGGGUUGUAAACUUCUUUUCUCAGGGACGAAGCAAGUGACGGUACCUGAGGAAUAAGCCACGGCUAACUACGUGCCAGCAGCCGCGGUAAUACGUAGGUGGCAAGCGUUAUCCGGAUUUACUGGGUGUAAAGGGCGUGUAGGCGGGAAAGCAAGUCAGAUGUGAAAACCAUGGGCUCAACCUGUGGCCUGCAUUUGAAACUGUUUUUCUUGGGUACUGGAGAGGCAGACGGAAUUCCUAGUGUAGCGGUGAAAUGCGUAGAUAUUAGGAGGAACACCAGUGGCGAAGGCGGCUUUCUGGACUGAAACUGACGCUGAGGCACGAAAGCGUGGGGAGCGAACAGGAUUAGAUCCCCGAGUA
RNAcentral lists this ribosomal RNA (448 nucleotides) under uncultured bacterium. RNAcentral's name for it is "bacterial SSU rRNA". It matches the Rfam family "Bacterial small subunit ribosomal RNA", at positions 330 to 792 of the family's 1533-position model. The record is from RNAcentral.